GACGAACGCUGGCGGCGUGCCUAACACAUGCAAGUCGAGCGAUGAAGUUCUUCGGAACGGAUUAGCGGCGGACGGGUGAGUAACACGUGGGUAACCUGCCUUGUAGAGGGGGAUAGCCUUCCGAAAGGAAGAUUAAUACCGCAUAACAUCUUUUUAUCGCAUGGUAGAAAGAUCAAAGGAGCAAUCCGCUACAAGAUGGACCCGCGGCGCAUUAGCUAGUUGGUGAGGUAACGGCUCACCAAGGCGACGAUGCGUAGCCGACCUGAGAGGGUGAUCGGCCACAUUGGAACUGAGACACGGUCCAGACUCCUACGGGAGGCAGCAGUGGGGAAUAUUGCGCAAUGGGGGAAACCCUGACGCAGCAACGCCGCGUGAAUGAAGAAGGCCUUAGGGUUGUAAAGUUCUGUUUACGGGGACGAUAAUGACGGUACCCGUGGAGGAAGCCACGGCUAACUACGUGCCAGCCGCCGCUGUAAGAC
This 479-nucleotide ribosomal RNA is filed under the name uncultured bacterium. RNAcentral describes it as "bacterial SSU rRNA". It matches the Rfam family "Bacterial small subunit ribosomal RNA", at positions 28 to 526 of the family's 1533-position model. The record is from RNAcentral.